CUGGGGAAAAUAAAAAGAAGCUCACCUUUGUUACGGUGAGCUUCUUUUUCUAUUAAUAUACUUUAUAACUUUCACCAGUUUGUGCAC
This 87-nucleotide small RNA is filed under the name Listeria monocytogenes serotype 4b str. LL195. RNAcentral's name for it is "traJ-II RNA". Lineage: Bacteria; Bacillati; Bacillota; Bacilli; Caryophanales; Listeriaceae. The record is from RNAcentral.